This 446-nucleotide ribosomal RNA is filed under the name uncultured bacterium. Its description in RNAcentral is "partial 16S ribosomal RNA". It matches the Rfam family "Bacterial small subunit ribosomal RNA", at positions 338 to 795 of the family's 1533-position model. The record is from RNAcentral.
CCUACGGGUGGCAGCAGUCGAGAAUCAUUCACAAUGGGGGAAACCCUGAUGGUGCGACGCCGCGUGGGGGAAUGAAGGUCUUCGGAUUGUAAACCCCUGUCAUGUGGGAGCAAAUUAAAAAGAUAGUACCACAAGAGGAAGAGACGGCUAACUCUGUGCCGGCAGACGCGGUAAUACAGGGGUCUCAAGCGUUGUUCGGAAUCACUGGUCGUAAAGCGUGCGUAGGCUGGUUCGUAAGGCGUGUGGGACAGGCGCGGGGCCAAACCUCGGACGGCACAUGAUACUGCGAGACUAGAGUGAAGGAGGGGGAAGCGGAAUUCGCGGUGUAGCAGUGAAAUGCGUAGAUAUCGGGAGGAACACUCGUGGCGAAGGCGGGUUCCUGGACAUUAACUGACGCUGAGGCACGAAGGCCAGGGGAGCGAAAGGGAUUAGAUACCCCAGUAGUC